RNAcentral lists this ribosomal RNA (497 nucleotides) under uncultured bacterium. RNAcentral describes it as "partial 16S ribosomal RNA". It matches the Rfam family "Bacterial small subunit ribosomal RNA", at positions 28 to 507 of the family's 1533-position model. The record is from RNAcentral.
GACGAACGCUGGCGGCGUGCCUAAUACAUGCAAGUUGAGCGAUGAAGAUUGGUGCUUGCACCAAUUUGAAGAGCAGCGAACGGGUGAGUAACGCGUGGGGAAUCUGCCUUUGAGCGGGGGACAACAUUUGGAAACGAAUGCUAAUACCGCAUAACAACUUUAAACAUAAGUUUUAAGUUUGAAAGAUGCAAUUGCAUCACUCAAAGAUGAUCCCGCGUUGUAUUAGCUAGUUGGUGAGGUAAAGGCUCACCAAGGAGAUGAUACAUAGCCGACCUGAGAGGGUGAUCGGCCACAUUGGGACUGAGACACGGCCCAAACUCCUACGGGAGGCAGCAGUAGGGAAUCUUCGGCAAUGGACGAAAGUCGGACCGAGCAACGCCGCGUGAGUGAAGAAGGUUUUCGGAUCGUAAAACUCUGUUGGUAGAGAAGGACGUUGGUGAGAGUGGAAAGCUCAUAAAGUGACGGUAACUACCCAGAAAGGGACGGCUAACUACGUG